Molecule: ribosomal RNA, 934 nt
Filed under: uncultured beta proteobacterium
Lineage: Bacteria; Pseudomonadati; Pseudomonadota; Betaproteobacteria
Description: bacterial SSU rRNA
Rfam family: Bacterial small subunit ribosomal RNA
Source: RNAcentral
UGGCAUGCUUUACCAUGCAAGUCGAGCGGCAGCGCGGGGGCAACCCUGGCGGCGAGCGGCGAACGGGUGAGUAAUGCAUCGGAACGUGUCCGGGAGUGGGGGAUAACCCGCCGAAAGGCGGGCUAAUACCGCAUAUGCUCUUUGGAGGAAAGGGGGGGACCGCAAGGCCUCCCGCUUUCGGAGCGGCCGAUGUCCGAUUAGCUAGUUGGUGGGGUAAUGGCUUACCAAGGCGACGAUCGGUAGCUGGUCUGAGAGGAUGAUCAGCCACACUGGGACUGAGACACGGCCCAGACCCCUACGGGAGGCAGCAGUGGGGAAUUUUGGACAAUGGGGGCAACCCUGAUCCAGCCAUGCCGCGUGCGGGAAGAAGGCCUUCGGGUUGUAAACCGCUUUUAGCCGGGAAGAAAAGGCAGGGGCUAACACUCUCUGUUCUUGACGGUACCGGCGGAAUAAGCACCGGCUAACUACGUGCCAGCAGCCGCGGUAAUACGUAGGGUGCGAGCGUUAAUCGGAAUUACUGGGCGUAAAGCGUGCGCAGGCGGUUCGUUAAGUCUGAUGUGAAAGCCCCGGGCUCAACCUGGGAAUGGCAUUGGAUACUGGCGGGCUUGAGUGUGGCAGAGGGGGGUGGAAUUCCGCGUGUAGCAGUGAAAUGCGUAGAGAUGCGGAGGAACACCGAUGGCGAAAGCAGCCCCCUGGGCUGACACUGACGCUCAGGCACGAAAGCGUGGGGAGCAAACAGGAUUAGAUACCCUGAUAGUCCACGCCCUAAACGAUGAUCACUGGGUGUUCGGGGAGCGAUCUCUGGGUACCGUAGCUAACGCGUGAAGUGAUCCGCCUGGGGAGUACGGUCGCAAGAUUAAAACUCAAGGAAUUUGACGGGGACCCGCACWAGCGGUGGAUGAUGUGGAUUUAAUUUCGAUGCAACGCGAACAAC